Molecule: long non-coding RNA, 1198 nt
Organism: Lycium ferocissimum
Lineage: Eukaryota; Viridiplantae; Streptophyta; Magnoliopsida; Solanales; Solanaceae
Exons: 5
Source: RefSeq, a predicted model, not a curated record
UAUUAUUAUGUGGCAAAAAAGGGAAGUUGAAAGUCUAGAGGAUACCGGUCUGACUGCCUAUGCAAUAGAUAAACAUACAUUGCAGAUGAGAGUUACACUCGAAGUCGAAGGGUUGGAUGGAACUUGACUUAUGCAAAAUUGCGAGACAUCAAAUUAUGGGCUAGAGCCAACAAUACCUCCGAUCGACCUCAAUUCGUGCCCUAUGUAAUAAAAUCAAAGUUAUGAUUCUGAUCAAAGAAAAAGCUAAAAAGGUAACUUAUCCAAACAUGAUGGAAUUUUUUGAGUUCCUUGGAGUUGAUACGGAGAUCUCUGAUAUGUCAUUCUCAGUGAGCUUAGACCAAGGUUGUGGUUACGAAUGGAGAACCCAAAAUCGAUUCUCUAGUUCGUUUGCAUAUGAGAAGAAUGUCUUGAAUCGAUAUUUUUGGCAAAUGAUUAGAGAGAUUAGCAGAUUCAAGCAGGAUGCCAUAAGGUACCAAUAACUUAUUUAUAACAAUCCUGACAUUGAUCGCGAUGAAACAUUAGGGCAAUUUAUUGAGUCACAUGGCUAUUUGGAGCUAUUUCAGAAGGCUUAUCUGCUCUUUGGUCUCCCUCAAUUGCUUACUAUUAGAUGGUGAUCACAUAUAACCAAGUGCCCUAGCAUGUUGUAUCAUAGCUUGCAAUGAUGGUGUCAAAGAAGUUUUUGAUGGAUGCAUAAUGGCAGAACAUGCACCAAAUACUCUGAAAAUGUUGGGCAAAGAGGCAACAUACGAUGAAACAAGAAUACCGGGUGCUUUCCAGUAUGUCUAUAGGUACUUUCGUCUCCUUUUUUUUUGAACACCUGGGCUUCUUUUCUCUUUAAUCUUUUUCGGAAUUUCAUCCAUAGACUACCAUCUUCUUGAAAAAUUCUUUUUAACGUAUUUAGUUGGUCGAUUGGACCAUAGUCUUAAUAAGAUUCAUGAUCUUUCAAAAUCAUUUUCUCUUCCUCUACGACACCGAUAUUUUCCUUCAUCGUGACAAAACAUUCCUGCCGCGCAACCCGGCAAGACGAUGAAGUGCUUGUAACUUUCUUGGAACCAUGAAUAGUAGAGGAUGUGCGACAUAUUGGCUCAAUAUUAUCCAGGUGUUUAUGCAAUACAUGUUGAUUUAGGACCUUCUAUAGAAACUAGAAGAUAAUGCUCUUCUAUGAGGAGUCUUUUCUUCUUGUACCGCUCUCUUAAUU